UUUUAUAAGUCCAGUCGGUUAAGACAAUACAGGUUACUGUAGUGGCCGGGGUUCGAAUCCCCGACAUGGCAC
Non-coding RNA from Neocallimastix lanati (nom. inval.), 72 nucleotides. The record is from the annotation of a GenBank genome assembly. NCBI's taxonomy places the organism in Eukaryota, Fungi, Neocallimastigomycota, Neocallimastigomycetes, Neocallimastigales, Neocallimastigaceae.